AGUGAACGCUGGCGGUAGGCCUAACACAUGCAAGUCGAACGGCAGCACAGUAAGAGCUUGCUCUUACGGGUGACGAGUGGCGGACGGGUGAGGAAUACAUCGGAAUCUACUUUUUCGUGGGGGAUAACGUAGGGAAACUUACGCUAAUACCGCAUACGACCUACGGGUGGAAGCAGGGGAUCUUCGGACCUUGCGCGAUUGAAUGAGCCGAUGUCGGAUUAGCUAGUUGGCGGGGUAAAGGCCCACCAAGGCGACGAUCCGUAGCUGGUCUGAGAGGAUGAUCAGCCACACUGGAACUGAGACACGGUCCAGACUCCUACGGGAGGCAGCAGUGGGGAAUAUUGGACAAUGGGCGCAAGCCUGAUCCAGCCAUACCGCGUGGGUGAAGAAGGCCUUCGGGUUGUAAAGCCCUUUUGUUGGGAAAGAAAAGCAGCAGGUUAAUACCCCGCUGUUCUGACGGUACCCAAAGAAUAAGCACCGGCUAACUUCGUG
Molecule: ribosomal RNA, 492 nt
Filed under: uncultured bacterium
Lineage: Bacteria
Description: partial 16S ribosomal RNA
Rfam family: Bacterial small subunit ribosomal RNA
Source: RNAcentral